GACGAACGCUGGCGGCGUGCCUAAUACAUGCCAGUCGAACGCAUUUUCUUUCACCGUAGCUUGCUACACCGAAAGAAAAUGAGUGGCGAACGGGUGAGUAACACGUGUGCAACCUGCCCAUCAGCGGGGGAUAACACUUGGAAACAGGUGCUAAUACCGCAUAAUUCCAUUUACCGCAUGGUAGAGGGAUGAAAGGCGCUUUUGCGUCACUGAUGGAUGGACCCGCGGUGCAUUAGCUAGUUGGUGGGGUAACGGCCUACCAAGGCUGCGAUGCAUAGCCGACCUGAGAGGGUGAUCGGCCACACUGGGACUGAGACACGGCCCAGACUCCUACGGGAGGCAGCAGGAGGGAAUCUUCGGCAAUGGACGCAAGUCUGACCGAGCAACGCCGCGGGAGUGAAGAAGGUUUUCGGAUCGUAAAACUCUGUUGUUAGAGAAGAACAAGGAUGAGAGUGGAAAGUUCAUCCCUUGACGGUAUCUAACCAGAAAGCCACGGCUAACUACGUG
RNAcentral lists this ribosomal RNA (507 nucleotides) under uncultured bacterium. RNAcentral's name for it is "partial 16S ribosomal RNA". It matches the Rfam family "Bacterial small subunit ribosomal RNA", at positions 28 to 507 of the family's 1533-position model. The record is from RNAcentral.